RNAcentral lists this long non-coding RNA (967 nucleotides) under Equus asinus (donkey). RNAcentral describes it as "lncRNA (ENSEASG00005030764.1, ENSEASG00020027958.1)". The record is from RNAcentral. Lineage: Eukaryota; Metazoa; Chordata; Mammalia; Perissodactyla; Equidae.
GCGGGGGGCAGCGGGCCCAUCCGGGCGGCCGCCGGGCGAGCUGCGCGGAAAAGGGGAAAGAAAAAGGGGAAGGGGAGGAAGGGGCGGGGAGGCUGGCGGGGCGAUCCCCUCCGAGCCCACUUUCCGCCCCGGCGUGGGCCGCUCUGUCUCUCCCAGCGACAUCAUUGUCACCCCCUCCAGGGGCGAGGAGUUUGGGCUCUGGGGCCAGGCUGCUUCGGUGCACAUCUUGCUCCACUCCUUACAAGUGUGCGCUUAGGCAACUUACUUUACCCAUCCCCGCAGAAAAAGAAAAGGCUAGGACCCGUCCAGGGCCAAUCCAGAGUGUGUGGGGCCUGACACGCCAAAGACGCGGGCGAGGGGAGCGGCCUUUCUCGGGGACAGGUGGCCGUCAGACUCGAGGCUCUGCAAGGGGCUGCACAGCGAGGGCCCUGAAGCCGCAGCUUCGUUUGCUCCGUGUUGAACGCUUCUGUACGGCUCUUGGCAAGCCGACUUCAGAGGUCAUCUCUUCAUCCAUGCUGGUGAGCACUUGGAAGGAGAGCAUGAACUAAUGACCAUCCGAUCCGUGGCAGGCUGCAGAACAGAACGUGAGGGAGAAAGGAGCUGUAGAUGCUUUCUUAAGUGACCUGCAGAAAAAGGGAGGCUCUUGGGCCUGAAGUUUAAAGAAAUAAGUGAAGGAGGUCAAAAGGAAGAUCAGCCCUGAGCUAACAUCUGCUGCCAAUCCUCCUCUUUUUGCUGAGGAAGCCUGGCCCUGAGCUAACAUCUGUGCUCAUCUUCCUCUACUUUAAAUGUGGGACACCUACCACAGCAUGGCUUGCCAAGCAGUGCCAUGUCUGCAUCCAGGAUCCAAACCGGUGAACCCUGGGCUACCAAAGUGGAACGUGCGCACUAACCAUGGUGCAACCUGGCCAGCCCCUCCUUCUCCAUUUUUAGUAGAUUAAUAGCAAAUCACCUACUUCUUGUAUAAUUC